Molecule: transfer RNA, 71 nt
Filed under: Cordylochernes scorpioides
Lineage: Eukaryota; Metazoa; Arthropoda; Arachnida; Pseudoscorpiones; Chernetidae
Description: tRNA-Gly
Source: RNAcentral
UGCAUCGGCCGGGAAUCGAACCCGGGCCGCCCGCGUGGCAGGCAAGCAUUUUACCACUAAGCCACCGAUGC